AUUGAACGCUGGCGGCAUGCUUUACACAUGCAAGUCGAACGGUAACAGGCCUUCGGGUGCUGACGAGUGGCGAACGGGUGAGUAAUGCAUCGGAACGUACCCAGAGGUGGGGGAUAACGCAGCGCAAGCUGUGCUAAUACCGCAUGUGAUCUGAGGAUGAAAGCGGGGGACCGAGCAGCAAUGUUUGGCCUCGCGCCUUUGGAGCGGCCGAUGUCGGAUUAGCUAGUUGGUGGGGUAAAGGCCUACCAAGGCGACGAUCCGUAGCUGGUCUGAGAGGACGACCAGCCACACUGGGACUGAGACGCGGCCCAGACUCCUACGGGAGGCAGCAGUGGGGAAUUUUGGACAAUGGGCGCAAGCCUGAUCCAGCAAUGCCGCGUGCGGGAAGAAGGCCUUCGGGUUGUAAACCGCUUUUGGCAGGAACGAAACGGUGUCCGCUAAUACCGGGCGCUAAUGACGGUACCUGCAGAAUAAGCACCGGCUAACUACGUG
RNAcentral lists this ribosomal RNA (492 nucleotides) under uncultured bacterium. RNAcentral describes it as "partial 16S ribosomal RNA". It matches the Rfam family "Bacterial small subunit ribosomal RNA", at positions 29 to 507 of the family's 1533-position model. The record is from RNAcentral.